RNAcentral lists this ribosomal RNA (237 nucleotides) under uncultured bacterium. RNAcentral's name for it is "partial 16S ribosomal RNA". It matches the Rfam family "Bacterial small subunit ribosomal RNA", at positions 118 to 354 of the family's 1533-position model. The record is from RNAcentral.
UAAGCAACCUGCCUAUCAGAGGGGAACAACAGUUAGAAAUGACUGCUAAUACCGCAUAUACCUAAGUAUCGCAUGAUACAAUAGGGAAAGGAGCAAUCCGCUGAUAGAUGGGCUUGCGUCUGAUUAGCUAGUUGGUGGGGUAAAGGCCUACCAAGGCGACGAUCAGUAGCCGGACUGAGAGGUUGAACGGCCACAUUGGGACUGAGAUACGGCCCAGACUCCUACGGGAGGCAGCAG